Molecule: long non-coding RNA, 3643 nt
Organism: Oreochromis niloticus (Nile tilapia)
Lineage: Eukaryota; Metazoa; Chordata; Actinopteri; Cichliformes; Cichlidae
Source: Ensembl
UUUUUUUUUAAAUAUUUUUUAAAAAAUGCUGUUUUUGUGCAACAGCUCUUAUUGAAUCACAUGCUGUUUGAUUUAUUUGAAACAGAUAAUAAAAGAGGAUACUGUGGGUGUUGGAGAGGCCCCACUGAAAUAGUAUAAUCUUUGCUCUCUGUCAUAUUUUUACUAUGUUUAAAAUCAUGUUUAUGUAUACAUUUAUAAAUACACAUAUAAACAUGCAUGCACAGUUUUCUCAUUUGAAAGUAAAUAUUUGUCUGAAUAAUUGAGCUGAAUCAGUUUUCACUGUGUAAGUUGUAGAUUUGUUCCCUCUGCUUCAAGCAGUCGGUCUAGCUGACUUUCUUGAGGCACUGAGGGCAGUUUGAGUGCAUUACAGCAGACUGAUCUUCUCUGUUAUCUUUCCAUUGUGAGUGCACGAAAGGAUCUCACAGAUAAACAUGUGGUCCCUGACACUCCAGCCACCUGUUCUGCACCAGUCUCACCUCCAGCUGAGGCUCAGACAAACAAAUCAAAGAAGGCUUCCUGGUGGCGCAGAUGGCUUUUUUGUGAGGCAGAAAAAGUCAAAGGUUUUUCCCAAAAAUGAAGACAAGGCAGAAGACACGGUCGUGCCACCUUCUGAACCCGAACAGAGGUACGAUAUUAUUUUACUGUCUGAACAAGUACUGCUGGUACUCCUUCUUUCUUGGAUCAUGAAGGAGAAUCUUUUGUGUUUUGUCCAGUGUUAACCCCGUCAGCCAGUAGACUUGUAGUCACGACUGCCUAAUCCGAGACUAAGACAAGACCAAGACCAGAGGGUAUCGAGACCAAGACCAAUACCGAGACAAAAAAAGUCUUUAGACUGCAGCCAGAUGCUGCUACGUUUAUGGGUGUCAGGCAUAUUUAUGUUUUUGCUUUCGCACAGCCCUCCUCACCGCUGUCUACUGUCUCACUCACUGAGAGGACAGACGAAUGCUCCACUUGACUGUCGCGUCUCUCACCCUCUCUGUUUUUCACACAAUGAUAUUAUCCUAUAUCCUCGCAUGUGAUUGGCCACAAUAUGGAGGGAUUGGAGCAUAACUGAGCCACUGUGUGAGAGCUGUGCAGCGAAAGGAAAUCAAGUGAGGGUAGAAAUGACUGAAAGAUUAUAAGGCUCUGUUUUGAGUUUUGUUCAAAAAAGAAUGACUUCAUAUAGGAAAAAAAUAAAUAUCACCUUAAACUAGUUUUUAAUGAAGCAGCAAAGCAAGCAAGCAAGCAAGCAAUUUAUUUAUAUAACACUUUCAGAUCAGCCCCCAGCUGAACACAAAGUGCUGUACACUUGACAUGCCAAAGUGAUACAUUGAACAUGUUAAAAAAUAUAAAAAUAAAUAAAAUAUAUAUAUAAAAAUAAUUAUUAAAAUGACAUUAAAAUAAAUAAAAUUAGCAUAAAUAGCAAAAACAAUAAUAAAAUAGUAUAAAAAUAAUGAUGAGAAUUACAUUUAAAACAAUAAAAUCAGCACAUUAGAUCAAAACAAUAAAAUCAAUAAAAUCGGGUCAGACUGUGUCAUAUGCCAAGGAGUAAAAAUGGGUUUUAAGAUGUGUUUUAAAAGUGGACAGUGAGGGGGCCUCUCUAAUGUGCUGGGGCAGAUUGUUCCACAGAUUAGGAGCAGCAAUAGAGAAGGCCCUGUCCCCUCUGAGCUUCCUCUUGGACCUGGGUACCUCCAGGAGCAGCUUGUCAGCUGACCUGAGAGACCUGGGGGGUGAGUAAGGAUGCAGAAGCUCAGAGAGGUAAGUUUGGGCAAGACCGUUUAAACAUUUAAAAACAAACAUGAGGAUUUUAAAAUGAACUCUAAGAUAUACAGGCAGCCAAUGGACUGAAGCCAGGAUGGGAGUUAUGUGCUCUCUUUUACGAGUUUUGGUUAAAAGUCGUGCAGCAGAAUUCUGGACCAGCUGCAGACGAGAGAGAAGAUGCUGACUAACUCCACAAUACAGAGCAUUACAGUAAUCUAGACGACAUGAAAUAAAAGCAUGGAUUACCGUUUCAAGAUGCGGCCUGGAUAAAAUAGGUCUUAUCUUUGCCAAGCGCCUUAAAUGGUAAAAACUGGACUUGACAGUAGCCCUAAUUUGACUGUCUAAUUUAAAAUCACUGUCCAUCUUAAAACCCAGGUUUGUAACAACAGAUUUAAAAUACUCUGCCAGGGGUCCCAAAUCAAUAGCAGAGGGUUAGCAAAGCAGAACAAAGUCGGGCUGUAUCAAGACACAGGGACUAAACCCCAAUUCAACCAGACCCAGAACUGAUCUGGAAUUAAAACAGGACUACAACAGUUCAAAAUCAGGACUACUUAGGACUUAACCAAAACAGAAACAGAAUCAAAACUAGAUGAUAGUAGCACUAAAAAUCAUCAUAGACCUGCAUUGCACUUAUUUUUUAAUUCUACCAAAGUAUCAGAAUCAGAAUCAGAAUCUUUAUUGUCAUUGCCACAGGUACAACGAAAUUAAGAAAGGUCCCCGAUCACUGCAUCAUCCCUAACAAUAUCAAAAUAUAAAUACACUAUUUAGAUUCAGAAAAGUUUAUAUAAUUAUUUAGCCUUCAUAAGACUGCAUAACUUAAUAAAUAUAGAAUUUGAAAAGUAACAAAUGGUAUCUAAAAAGUUACACUAGGCACUAGAUACAUGUUCUGAUGAGUUUUGGCAAACAACCAUUUGACUAACAUGUGUGUCUCACCUGCUCUUGUUCCAUCUCUGUUCUGUCCUCAUUCUCCUCUCUCUCCCUCUCUGUUCCUCUCUCUCCCUCUCUGUUCCUCUCUCUCCCUCUCUGUUCCUCUCUCUCCCUCUCUGCUCCUUUCUCUCCCUCUCUGCUCCUCUCUCCCUCUCUGCUCCUCUCCUCUCCUCUCCUUCCUGCACUGCAUGCUGGGAGUGUGAGUGAAUGGGUGUGUGAAGGUGUGUGGUGAGUGCGUGGAGCUGCUGAGUGAGUUUGGGACGUUUGGUCUGCUUUUUUCCGGAAAACUUUGGGUUUAUGGGUGGUUAAAAGCAGUGUUGGUCAAGUUACUUGAAAAAAGUAAUCAGUUACUAAUUACUGAUUACUUCCCCCCAAAAAGUAAUCCCGUUACUUUACUGAUUAGUUAUUUUCAAAAGUAAUUAAUUACUUAGUUACUUAGUUACUUUUUAAAAACACGAUUUACAACCUGAAUAGGUGAUAAAGCGAUAGAUCUUUCAGCCCAAUUCUACUUUUUCUGCAUAAUUCAUCAUACAAAAUGUAAUCAAAUGGAAAAGUCUCUUUUUAAAACUUGUUUUAUUAGUUUUAAUCUUUUAACUUUAUGCAUCAAGCAAAAAAUUUAAUUAUAUGCAACAUUCUCUGACUGGAAGAAAUUUGUUUAACAUUUAAACCUAUUUUCUGCACAUUCCAGCAUAUAAAAUAAAAUAUUUUUUUGUGUUUACACUCACUCUUUCAAAUAGAUGCAAGUAAAACACAGCAGAAAAUAAAUAAAAUCAAAGACUAGCGGUCCUGUUGCUCUAUUUUCACCUGUAAAGCAGGACUGGGGUAGGCGGAGGUUUACCCUGGUGCAGGUGUGCUGCAGCGGUCAGUGGAAGAAUCCGCGAGUUUCUCUGUAGCUGUGUCCCAAAACGUCGGCUGCAUCCUCCGGAGGCCGCAUUUGAAGGCCGAUUACGUCACAGCCCGGCGACGAAGGCUGUCC